GCCUGGUGGCGAAGUGGCGAACGGGUGAGUAAUGCAUCGGAACGUGCCCAUGUCGUGGGGGAUAACGUAGCGAAAGCUACGCUAAUACCGCAUACGCCCUGAGGGGGAAAGCGGGGGAUUCUUCGGAACCUCGCGCGAUUGGAGCGGCCGAUGUCGGAUUAGCUAGUAGGUGAGGUAAAGGCUCACCUAGGCGACGAUCCGUAGCGGGUCUGAGAGGAUGAUCCGCCACACUGGGACUGAGACACGGCCCAGACUCCUACGGGAGGCAGCAGUGGGGAAUUUUGGACAAUGGGGGCAACCCUGAUCCAGCCAUGCCGCGUGAGUGAAGAAGGCCUUCGGGUUGUAAAGCUCUUUCGGCCGGGAAGAAAUCGGCGACUCUAACAUAGUCGCUGGAUGACGGUACCGGACUAAGAAGCACCGGCUAACUACGUGCCA
Molecule: ribosomal RNA, 435 nt
Filed under: uncultured bacterium
Lineage: Bacteria
Description: bacterial SSU rRNA
Rfam family: Bacterial small subunit ribosomal RNA
Source: RNAcentral